Molecule: ribosomal RNA, 439 nt
Filed under: uncultured bacterium
Lineage: Bacteria
Description: partial 16S ribosomal RNA
Rfam family: Bacterial small subunit ribosomal RNA
Source: RNAcentral
CCUACGGGAGGCUGCAGUCAAGAAUCUUCCCCAAUGGGCGAAAGCCUGAGGGAGCGACGCCGCGUGACCGAUGAAGCCCUUCGGGGUGUAAAGGUCUUUUAUAUGGGAAAAAUCUGAUGGUACCAUAUGAAUAAGCCACGGCUAACUCUGUGCCAGCAGCCGCGGUAAGACAGAGGUGGCAAGCGUUAUCCGGAAUCACUGGGCGUAAAGAGUUCGUAGGUGGUUUUUUAAGUCAGGUGUUAAAUCUUCGAGCCCAACUCGAAGGCCGCAUCUGAAACUAAAAAACUUGAGAAAGAGAGAGGUCGAUGAAAUUCCCGGUGUAGCGGUAAAAUGCGCAGAUAUCGGGAAGAACACCAGUGGCGAAGGCGGCUUCCGGGACUGCGACUGACGCUGAGGUGCGAAAGCUAGGGGAGCGAACAGGAUUAGAUCCCCCUGUAGU